AAAGUCCCUCCACUCCCGCUUCCCCUUCCCGGAGAGCCGAUGGCUUCUCUAUCAAGCCCGCUCCCGCCGCCGUUGACCGCCCAGUUCUCUCGAUCAAUCAACGAGAGCCGCUUCCUCUCGCUCCCGUGCCUCAAGGCCCGGCCGGCGAUCAUCGGGGGACGCGUCGCCGCUUCUCAGAUCUCCUGCAGAGCUGUCUCCGUCAAGCCCCAGACUGAGAUCGAGGGCCUCAACAUCGCCGAGGAUGUCACUCAGCUUAUUGGGAAGACACCUAUGGUGUAUCUAAACAAUAUUGUGAAGGGGUGUACUGCAAAUAUUGCUGCUAAGCUUGAGAUCAUGGAGCCAUGUUGCAGCGUUAAAGAUAGGAUAGGCUACAGUAUGAUCACUGAUGCUGAAGAGAGA
Molecule: unclassified non-coding RNA, 399 nt
Filed under: Hevea brasiliensis (rubber tree)
Lineage: Eukaryota; Viridiplantae; Streptophyta; Magnoliopsida; Malpighiales; Euphorbiaceae
Source: RNAcentral